GAUGAACGCUGGCGGCGUGCCUAAUACAUGCAAGUCGAGCGAACAGACGAGGAGCUUGCUCCUCUGACGUUAGCGGCGGACGGGUGAGUAACACGUGGAUAACCUACCUAUAAGACUGGGAUAACUUCGGGAAACCGGAGCUAAUACCGGAUAAUAUAUUGAACCGCAUGGUUCAAUAGUGAAAGACGGUUUUGCUGUCACUUAUAGAUGGAUCCGCGCCGCAUUAGCUAGUUGGUAAGGUAACGGCUUACCAAGGCAACGAUGCGUAGCCGACCUGAGAGGGUGAUCGGCCACACUGGAACUGAGAAACGGUCCAGACUCCUACGGGAGGCAACAGGAGGGAAUCUUCCGCAAUGGGGGAAAGCUUGACGGAGCAACGCCGCGUGAGUGAUGAAGGGCUUCGGAUCGUAAAACUCUGUUAUUAGGGAAGAACAAAUGUGUAAGUAACUAUGCACGUCUUGACGGUACCUAAUCAGAAAGCCACGGCUAACUACGUG
Molecule: ribosomal RNA, 497 nt
Filed under: uncultured bacterium
Lineage: Bacteria
Description: partial 16S ribosomal RNA
Rfam family: Bacterial small subunit ribosomal RNA
Source: RNAcentral